Molecule: ribosomal RNA, 1095 nt
Rfam family: Eukaryotic large subunit ribosomal RNA
AGGGAAGAAACUAACAAGGAUUCCCCUAGUAACGGCGAGUGAAGCGGGAAGAGCUCAAGCUUAAAAUCUCCGUGCAAGUUUUGUGCGGCGAAUUGUAGUCUAUAGAAGCGUGGUCAGCAUGGGCACUUGGGGCAAGUUCCUUGGAAGAGGACAGCAUGGAGGGUGAUACUCCCGUUCAUUUCUGAGUUGCUCGUGCGUACGACCCGUUUUCUUUGAGUCGCGUUGUUUGGGAAUGCAGCGCAAAGUAGGUGGUAAAUUCCAUCUAAAGCUAAAUAUUGGUGCGAGACCGAUAGCGAACAAGUACCGUGAGGGAAAGAUGAAAAGAACUUUGAAAAGAGAGUUAAAGAGUACCUGAAACUGCUGAAAGGGAACCGAAUCGUUUCCAGUGUCUAUAAUCCGUGGUAUAUUUCAUUGGCGAGUGUGUGCGUGCGUGUGCUGUGGCAGCGGCUUUUUUGGCUGCGCUCGGCGUGUGUGCUGUGUGUGCUUGCUGGUGCUCUGUGCUGCGGUGGGACGUCAAGGUCAGUUCGUAUGCUGCGGGAAAUGGCUGCCGAGGAGGUAGGGCUUACGCUUGCGUUUGUCUGUUAUAUCUUGGUGGACGAGUAGUCGCGGUUGGGACUGAGGUGCCUACAACGUGCUUUUGAGUGGGUUUGUGUCUCCGUGUGCGCCGUGUGCGGAUAGCUUGCUAUGCGUGUGUGGUUGUGUGUGGAUUGAUGCGAGCUUUAACUUGUUGCCGUUCGGGACGUUGACGAAAUGGAGCGAUUCGACCCGUCUUGAAACACGGACCAAGGAGUCUAACAUGUGUGCAAGUGUUAGGGUGUGGAAACCCCAGCGCGAAAUGAAAGUGAAGGGCAGCGUAAGUUGUCUGAGGUAGGAAAUGCUGCGGGCUUCGGUCUGCGGUGUGGCACUAUCGACCGAUCAUGAACCUUCGUGGUGAAAGAUUUGAGUUUGAGCACAUAUGUUGGUACCCGAAAGAUGGUGAACUAUGCCUGAGUAGGGUGAAGCCAGGGGAAACUCUGGUGGAAGCUCGUAGCGAUUCUGACGUGCAAAUCGAUCGUCAAACUUGGGUAUAGGGGCGAAAGACUAAUCGAAACCCCC